AUUGAACGCUGGCGGCAUGCCUUACACAUGCAAGUCGAACGGCAGCACGGGUGCUUGCACCUGGUGGCGAGUGGCGAACGGGUGAGUAAUACAUCGGAACGUACCUUAUCGUGGGGGAUAACGCAGCGAAAGCUGUGCUAAUACCGCAUACGCCCUGAGGGGGAAAGCGGGGGAUCGAAAGACCUCGCGCGAUUAGAGCGGCCGAUGCCUGAUUAGCUUGUUGGUGGGGUAAAAGCCCACCAAGGCGACGAUCAGUAGCUGGUCUGAGAGGACGAUCAGCCACACUGGGACUGAGAGAAGGCCCAGACUCCGACGGGAGGACGCAGUGGGGAAUUUUGGACAAUGGGGGCAACCCUGAUCCAGCAAUGCCGCGUGAGUGAAGAAGGCCUUCGGGUUGUAAAGCUCUUUUGUCAGGGAAUAAACACCGGCUCUAACACAGUCCGGGAAUGACGGUACCUGAAGAAUAAGCACCGGCUAACUACGUGCCAGCCGCCGCGGUAA
This 501-nucleotide ribosomal RNA is filed under the name uncultured bacterium. RNAcentral's name for it is "partial 16S ribosomal RNA". It matches the Rfam family "Bacterial small subunit ribosomal RNA", at positions 29 to 523 of the family's 1533-position model. The record is from RNAcentral.